AUACCGUGAAACUGCGAAUGGCUCAUUAAAUCAGUUAUCGUUUAUUUGAUAGUACCUUACUACUUGGAUACCCGUGGUAAUUCUAGAGCUAAUACAUGCUGAAAACCCCGACUUCGGAAGGGGUGUAUUUAUUAGAUAAAAAACCAAUGCCCUUCGGGGCUACUUGGUGAUUCAUAAUAACUUAACGGAUCGCAUGGCCUUGCGCCGGCGACGGUUCAUUCAAAUUUCUGCCCUAUCAACUUUCGAUGGUAAGGUAUUGGCUUACCAUGGUUUCAACGGGUAACGGGGAAUAAGGGUUCUAUUCCGGAGAGGGAGCCUGAGAAACGGCUACCACAUCCAAGGAAGGCAGCAGGCGCGCAAAUUACCCAAUCCCGACACGGGGAGGUAGUGACAAUAAAUACUGAUACAGGGCUCUUUUGGGUCUUGUAAUUGGAAUGAGUACAAUUUAAAUCCCUUAACGAGGAACAAUUGGAGGGCAAGUCUGGUGCCAGCAGCCGCGGUAAUUCCAGCUCCAAUAGCGUAUAUUAAAGUUGUUGCAGUUAAAAAGCUCGUAGUUGAACCUUGGGCCUGGCUGGCCGGUCCGCCUCACCGCGUGUACUGGUCCGGCCGGGCCUUUCCUUCUGGAGAGCCCCAUGCCCUUCACUGGGUGUGCGGGGGAACCAGGACUUUUACUUUGAAAAAAUUAGAGUGUUCAAAGCAGGCCUUUGCUCGAAUACGUUAGCAUGGAAUAAUAGAAUAGGACGUGUGGUUCUAUUUUGUUGGUUUCUAGAACCGCCGUAAUGAUUAAUAGGGAUAGUCGGGGGCAUCAGUAUUCAAUUGUCAGAGGUGAAAUUCUUAGAUUUAUUGAAGACUAACUACUGCGAAAGCAUUUGCCAAG
Molecule: ribosomal RNA, 877 nt
Filed under: Angustimassarina kunmingense
Lineage: Eukaryota; Fungi; Ascomycota; Dothideomycetes; Pleosporales; Amorosiaceae
Description: SSU rRNA
Rfam family: Eukaryotic small subunit ribosomal RNA
Source: RNAcentral